GUGAGGAAUUUUCCGCAAUGGGCGAAAGCCUGACGGAGCAAUGCCGCGUGAAGGAUGAAGGCCUAUGGGUUGUAAACUUCUUUUCUCAGAAAAGAAUUAUGACGGUAUCUGAGGAAUAAGCAUCGGCUAACUCUCUGCCAGCAGCCGCGGUAAGACAGAGGAUGCAAGCGUUAUCCGGAAUGAUUGGGCGUAAAGCGUCUGUAGGUUGUUUAAAAAGUAUUCUGUCAAAGAUUAGGGCUUAACCCUAGAUAGGCAGAAUAAACUUUUAAGCUAGAGUUUGGUAGAGGCAGAGGGAAUUCCCGGUGGAGCGGUGAAAUGCGUAGAUAUCGGGAGGAACACCAAAGGCGAAGGCACUCUGCUGGGCCAAUACUAACACUGAGAGACGAAAGCGAGGGGAGCAAAUGGGAUUAGAAACCCCUGUAGUCC
This 426-nucleotide ribosomal RNA is filed under the name uncultured bacterium. RNAcentral describes it as "partial 16S ribosomal RNA". It matches the Rfam family "Bacterial small subunit ribosomal RNA", at positions 354 to 796 of the family's 1533-position model. The record is from RNAcentral.